Long non-coding RNA from Podarcis raffonei (Aeolian wall lizard), 413 nucleotides. RefSeq lists it as uncharacterized. NCBI's taxonomy places the organism in Eukaryota, Metazoa, Chordata, Lepidosauria, Squamata, Lacertidae. The transcript has 2 exons. The record is from RefSeq and is a predicted model, not a curated record.
UAGUUUGGGCUGCCCAUGAUGUGGAAGAAGUUGGUCUCAGACAAAAUACCAAUCUUACCUCUAGAGAAAGGAAUAGUUUUACAUGUUCAGCCAGGCAGUCCUGCAGAGCUUGUGUUUACAAGCAGAGUUAACCCAACCCUUGUGUGCUCUUUCUCAAACAUUACAGCAUUCAACUUCCUGUUCCCUUUCCUCACAGCAGGAAAACAGCAGUAUUGCCUGAGCUUGGGCUACACUCAUUUUGCAAAACCUGAUCACCUCUCCUGUCCCAUCAAAGAUUAUGGGAAGCUUUGUUUGUGCCUGUAGCUCCUAGCCCUAAGUUCCUCUUGCCUGUAUGAAAUGGAUAAUUGGUGACCAACUGUUUACACUAUGCCCCUCCCCCACUGUAUCAAAUAAACCUUGAGUUGUUUGUCUCA